AACGAACGCUGGCGGCAUGCCUAACACAUGCAAGUCGAACGAGACCUUCGGGUCUAGUGGCGCAAGGGUGCGUAACGCGUGGGAACCUGCCCUUAGGUUCGGAAUAACUCCCCGAAAGGGGUGCUAAUACCGGAUAAUGUCUUCGGACCAAAGAUUUAUCGCCUUUGGAUGGGCCCGCGUUGGAUUAGCUAGUUGGUAGGGUAAAAGCCUACCAAGGCGACGAUCCAUAGCUGGUCUGAGAGGAUGAUCAGCCACACUGGGACUGAGACACGGCCCAGACUCCUACGGGAGGAAGCAGUGGGGAAGAUUGGACAAUGGGCGAAAGCCUGAUCCAGCAAGGCCGCGUGAGGGAUGAAGGCCUUAGGGUUGUAAAGCUCUUUUACCCGGGAUGAUAAUGACAGUACCGGGAGAAUAAGCUCCGGCUAACUCCGUG
Molecule: ribosomal RNA, 433 nt
Filed under: uncultured bacterium
Lineage: Bacteria
Description: partial 16S ribosomal RNA
Rfam family: Bacterial small subunit ribosomal RNA
Source: RNAcentral